GGUUAAGCGACUAAGCGUACACGGUGGAUGCCUAGGCAAUCAGAGGCGAUGAAGGACGUGCUAAUCUGCGAUAAGCGUCGGUAAGGUGAUAUGAACCGUUACAACCGACGAUUUCCGAAUGGGGAAACCCAGUGCAAUUCGUUGCACUAUCGUUUGAUGAAUACAUAGUCAAACGAAGCGAACCGGGGGAACUGAAACAUCUCAGUACCCCGAGGAAAAGAAAUCAACCGAGAUUCCCCUAGUAGCGGCGAGCGAACGGGGAGCAGCCCAGAGUCUUAAUCAGCAUUAGCAUCAGGAGAACGGUCUGGAAAGUCCGGCAGUAAAGGGUGAUAGCCCCGUAUCCGAAGGUGUUAGUGUUGUGAACUCGACGAGUAGGGCGGGACACGUGUUAUCCUGUCUGAAUAUGGGGGGACCAUCCUCCAAGGCUAAAUACUCCUGAUUGACCGAUAGUGAACCAGUACCGUGAGGGAAAGGCGAAAAGAACCCCGGCGAGGGGAGUGAAAUAGAACCUGAAACCGUGUACGUACAAGCAGUGGGAGCCUUGAUUUAUCAGGGUGACUGCGUACCUUUUGUAUAAUGGGUCAGCGACUUAUAUUCUGUAGCAAGGUUAACCGUAUAGGGGAGCCGUAGGGAAACCGAGUCUUAACUGGGCGAAUAAGUUGCAGGGUAUAGACCCGAAACCCGGUGAUCUAGCCAUGGGCAGGUUGAAGGUUGGGUAACACUAACUGGAGGACCGAACCGACUAAUGUUGAAAAAUUAGCGGAUGACUUGUGGCUGGGGGUGAAAGGCCAAUCAAACCGGGAGAUAGCUGGUUCUCCCCGAAAGCUAUUUAGGUAGCGCCUCGUGAACUCAUCUUCGGGGGUAGAGCACUGUUUCGACUAGGGGGUCAUCCCGACUUACCAACUCGAUGCAAACUACGAAUACCGAAGAAUGUUAUCACGGGAGACACACGGCGGGUGCUAACGUUCGUCGUGAAGAGGGAAACAACCCAGACCGCCAGCUAAGGUCCCAAAGUCAUAGUUAAGUGGGAAACGAAGUGGGAAGGCUCAGACAGCCAGGAUGUUGGCUUAGAAGCAGCCAUCAUUUAAAGAAAGCGUAAUAGCUCACUGGUCGAGUCGGCCUGCGCGGAAGAUGUAACGGGGCUAAACUAUGCACCGAAGCUGCGGCAGCGAUAUGUAAAUAUUGUUGGGUAGGGGAGCGUUCUGUAAGCCUGUGAAGGUGUGCUGUGAGGCAUGCUGGAGGUAUCAGAAGUGCGAAUGCUGACAUAAGUAACGAUAAUGCGGGUGAAAAACCCGCACGCCGGAAGACCAAGGGUUCCUGUCCAACGUUAAUCGGGGCAGGGUGAGUCGACCCCUAAGGCGAGGCAGAAAUGCGUAGUCGAUGGGAAACGGGUUAAUAUUCCCGUACUGGUGAUAAUUGCGAUGGGGGGACGGAGAAGGCUAGGCUAUCCGGGCGACGGUUGUCCCGGUUUAAGGAUGUAGGCAGGUGAAUUAGGCAAAUCCGGUUCACUAUAUGCUGAGGUCCGAUGACGAGUCACUACGGUGAUGAAGUAGCUCAUGCCCCGCUUCCAGGAAAAGCCUCUAAGCUCUAGAUUAUCAUUAAUCGUACCCCAAACCGACACAGGUGGUCAGGUAGAGAAUACUCAGGCGCUUGAGAGAACUCGGGUGAAGGAACUAGGCAAAAUGGUGCCGUAACUUCGGGAGAAGGCACGCUGGCAUUAGGUGAAGUGAUUUACUCAUGGAGCUGAAGCCAGUCGCAGAUACCAGCUGGCUGCAACUGUUUAUUAAAAACACAGCACUGUGCAAACACGAAAGUGGACGUAUACGGUGUGACGCCUGCCCGGUGCUGGAAGGUUAAUUGAUGGGGUUAUCCGUAAGGAGAAGCUUUUGAUCGAAGCCCCAGUAAACGGCGGCCGUAACUAUAACGGUCCUAAGGUAGCGAAAUUCCUUGUCGGGUAAGUUCCGACCUGCACGAAUGGCGUAAUGAUGGCCAGGCUGUCUCCACCCGAGACUCAGUGAAAUUGAACUCGCUGUGAAGAUGCAGUGUACCCGCGGCAAGACGGAAAGACCCCGUGAACCUUUACUAUAGCUUGACACUGAACAUUGAGCCUUGAUGUGUAGGAUAGGUGGGAGGCUUUGAAGCGUGGACGCCAGUCUGCGUGGAGCCAACCUUGAAAUACCACCCUUUAAUGUUUGAUGUUCUAACGUUGCCCCAUUAUCUGGGGUGCGGACAGUGUCUGGUGGGUAGUUUGACUGGGGCGGUCUCCUCCCAAAGAGUAACGGAGGAGCACGAAGGUUGGCUAAGCAUGGUCGGACAUCAUGCGGUUAGUGCAAAGGCAUAAGCCAGCUUGACUGCGAGAGUGACGGCUCGAGCAGGUACGAAAGUAGGUCUUAGUGAUCCGGUGGUUCUGAAUGGAAGGGCCAUCGCUCAACGGAUAAAAGGUACUCCGGGGAUAACAGGCUGAUACCGCCCAAGAGUUCAUAUCGACGGCGGUGUUUGGCACCUCGAUGUCGGCUCAUCACAUCCUGGGGCUGAAGUAGGUCCCAAGGGUACGGCUGUUCGCCGUUUAAAGUGGUACGCGAGCUGGGUUUAGAACGUCGUGAGACAGUUCGGUCCCUAUCUGCCGUGGGCGUUGGAAGAUUGAAAGGGGCUGCUCCUAGUACGAGAGGACCGGAGUGGACGCACCACUGGUGUUCGGGUUGUCAUGCCAAUGGCAUUGCCCGGUAGCUAAGUGCGGAAGAGAUAACCGCUGAAAGCAUCUAAGCGGGAAACUUGCCUUGAGAUGAGUCUUCCCUGACUCUUUAAGGGUCCUAAAGGAACGUUUAAGACUAAGACGUUGAUAGGUUGGGUGUGUAAGCGUAGCGAUACGUUGAGCUAACCAAUACUAAUGAACCGUGAGGCUUAACCUG
RNAcentral lists this ribosomal RNA (2909 nucleotides) under Providencia rettgeri. RNAcentral's name for it is "23S ribosomal RNA". It matches the Rfam family "Bacterial large subunit ribosomal RNA". The record is from RNAcentral. Lineage: Bacteria; Pseudomonadati; Pseudomonadota; Gammaproteobacteria; Enterobacterales; Morganellaceae.